This is a long non-coding RNA of Gallus gallus (chicken), 2360 nucleotides long. The record is from Ensembl. Lineage: Eukaryota; Metazoa; Chordata; Aves; Galliformes; Phasianidae.
UUUUCCAACCUUAAUGAUUCUGUGAAGGCUCCUUGGGAGGACAGAGCCUGCUCUGCUCUCACACCAACAAAUGCAUGGGUGGAGAGAGAUACGAUGCACAGCAUGAAACUUCCUGGCAGAUUUUUCCUGUGUGAAAACCACCCUUACCUUGUAAGACAUAGCCCAGUGGCUGCAGUUCUUCUGUGACGCUGGUGUUCGCUCACUUCAGAAGCCACAAAGUUCUUCUCAAUCUCUCAGGGCCACAUCAGCCAGCAAAAAUCAAACUAGACGCUGUGGUUUCAGCCCUGUGUCUUUUGCGUAUUGCAGGCCCACAGACCUGUCUGUUAUUAUCCUGAUGUUAAUGCGUCACAGGGAAUAUUUGCUAAGUUGCUUUCUUUCCUAGAUAUUUCUAGGAGAUAUCCGUAGAUAUUUCCCAGAUAUUUCUGUAUUUACAAUGGGGAGAACCUGCCACACUGUCCCUGUUCACAUCAUGUACAUAGCAGUCAUUGCAACACCAAAGAAGUGGCUAACUAAAAUACUUCUUUGUAAUCUUUUUAAUGGAAGAAAGCAAUUAAAUCCUUUAGCUUCACCAGGACUUAAAUAUAUGCUUAGUUUCAAGCACAUCGUUGAAUACUUUCCUAAAUCAGGAUCUUGAUUUCCAACGUUGUGUUUUUUUAACCUGAAUGUCAUUUACAAUACGUUGAACUCUUUUCUCUUCUGACAUCUUAUGCUGAUCUAUGAGUUGGCCUUCAUUUUGUCCUGUUAAGUAGAAACCCACUUCAUCAUGAAAUAUGUUCCUCAUACUUUCUCCAACCCAGGGAGAGAAAAACAUUGAUAAACAUCAUAUGGCAACCAUUUCACAAAAGCUUCGAACAUAUCUCAGGAAAGGAGAAGGAAAAUAAAUAUGAAGCAACCGCUGCUUGUUGAGGUAGAUGCUGAUUCCAUGAAGGAGUGAGUGGGACUCGUGGUUAGAGGAGCAGGCUGCAGCAAAUCCUCCCUCUGCCCUUCUUCUGUCUGGCAAGUAGAAGGCUGUGAGGAAAGUAAGUCAUUUGACCCCAGUUCAGGUGGAGAUGGAACAAAGUGUCACAUCUAAAUGUGCUAUGUUGUUUAAAGUGUGGGGCUUCCAGAGGAAUGCUGCAAGUGGUGGUGACCUUUCCCAAGGACUCCUACUGAGUGUAAGCAGUGGACUUUUUAGAGCAAACAGUUUAUUAUUCCACUAACACUGGAUUUUAAAAAUUCCCUCGGAAUUUCGGGUUUCCUUGGAGGAUUUUUUUAAGGCAGAUUUAGUUGAGUUGCAAGGCAGCAUCUGCUAAUGUGUGCCAGCAGUCGUAAUAAUACUGCGCACCAGAUCUGUCUGUGUUUGUGUAACCUCUGGAUCUGUUGCAGAUCACCCCUGACUAAUUCUUAUGUGUCCGAAAUAUUACCCGUUUCAGCGAAACUGAAAUCUUCUGCCCAUUGCACAACAGAAGAGAGCUAUUUCAUCUAAGGGACAAUAUUGGCACAGAAACAAAUGGCUUUGAACUGACCGUGAAUAAAUUUGAGCAAUUACAUUAUUUCUAACCAGCAGAGGAAUGAGAGACUGGAAGAGCCUUCUAAUAUGAAAAGAAAGAACUGGAGCCCUGGGCAGCUUUAAGAUGAAGCUUGAUUGGUUUAUGAAGGCAAUUAUAUGGCACAGUGCUCUAUAGCACUCUCAAUAGCCACAAGCUGGAUUCACAGGCCCCCUGCCCUCUCCCAGCCCAAGCCUGCAGACAGCAAAGGUCCAUUUCUUCAAAUCUUCACCCCAGCCUUUUUGUCGAGCGAGCAGAGGGUACGUGAGCUUUUGGAAGAGUAGAGCCACAAUGGAAGCACUGUGCAGGUGCUACCAUUCCUUAGAGCAUGCUGCCCGUAGAAAAAUUCCCCUCUCCCUUUCUCCUAGCCAGCUCUGCUGAGAUGCAUGUGAGCACCAUGGGGGAAACUGGGAGGGGUCAUAUGUGAUGAGCCAGCAAAAAGUAUGGAAAAAUCACCCCGAGCUACUGAUAAACAAGUUCUGUUUUCCCCAAGUCAGAGACGUUUUUAUUAGGAGUUUAAUACUUCACCAUGGUGCAGAUAUACAGCAUAUAUGCUCUUUCCCAGAAUUUCACCCUUAUUUCAGAUCAGAGUUUGCCCAUAAAGCUCCAGUAAUGUUUUUCUUUUAGUAGUGACACUUAACAAAAUAAUUAGGCAAUUAAUUGCCUAACUCCACAAGGAGCAGCAAUUAUUUUUUUUACUUAAAACAUGUAAAAAGCUGUGUCAUUUAUUGAUAGAGAGUCGCAUAAUAUUCCACGGCACAACAGCCCUCUGGAGACAUUACUCUAUAUGCUGUGAAUGCAUUUUGAGAAUAAUAAACAAAACUCAGCUAAAUC